RNAcentral lists this ribosomal RNA (209 nucleotides) under uncultured bacterium. Its description in RNAcentral is "partial 16S ribosomal RNA". It matches the Rfam family "Bacterial small subunit ribosomal RNA", at positions 524 to 730 of the family's 1533-position model. The record is from RNAcentral.
UACGAAGGGGGCUAGCGUUGCUCGGAAUUACUGGGCGUAAAGGGGCGCGUAGGCGGACAGUUUAGUCAGAGGUGAAAGCCCAGGGCUCAACCUUUGGAAAUUGCCUUUGAUACUGGCUGUCUUGAGUUCGGGAGAGGUGAGUGGAAUGCCGAGUGUAGAGGUGAAAUUCGUAGAUAUUCGGCGGAACACCAGUGGCGAAGGCGCUCACU